ACCAGACUCCUACGGGAGGCAGCAGUGGGGGAUAUUGCACAAUGGGGGGAACCCUGAUGCAGCGACGCCGCGUGGGUGAAGAAGUAUUUCGGUAUGUAAAGCCCUAUCGGCAGGGAAGAAAUUGGACGGUACCUGACUAAGAAGCCCUGGCUAACUACGUGCCAGCAGCCGCGGUAAUACGUAGGGGGCAAGCGUUAUCCGGAUUCACUGGGUGUAAAGGGAGCGUAGACGGCCAUGCAAGCCUGGAGUGAAAGCCCGGGGCCCAGCCCCGGGACUGCUCUGGGAACUGUGCGGCUGGAGUGCGGGAGGGGCAGGCGGAAUUCCUGGUGUAGCGGUGAAAUGCGUAGAUAUCAGGAGGAACACCGGCGGCGAAGGCGGCCUGCUGGGCUUUUACUGACGCUGAGGCUCGAAAGUGUGGGGAGCAAACAGGAUUAGAUACCCGUGUA
This 446-nucleotide ribosomal RNA is filed under the name uncultured bacterium. RNAcentral describes it as "bacterial SSU rRNA". It matches the Rfam family "Bacterial small subunit ribosomal RNA", at positions 330 to 792 of the family's 1533-position model. The record is from RNAcentral.